This 334-nucleotide long non-coding RNA is filed under the name Nicotiana benthamiana. RNAcentral's name for it is "long non-coding RNA (NBEN_LNC012234)". Lineage: Eukaryota; Viridiplantae; Streptophyta; Magnoliopsida; Solanales; Solanaceae. The record is from RNAcentral.
AUAUGGCUUCAAACAAGCGAGAAAGGCCCUUUCUAUCUUAUUAGUCAAGCGCGCUAGCUGCAAUCAAAAAACAGCGCUAACGAGCAAGAAAACGGAUGCGCUAAGGCGCAACUUCGCGCAGCUGCUGCGCCCUUGCUUCUUGCUUUCGAGCCGGAGCUUGCUGGGUAGUGAAGUGGUCCGUGAAGGUUAAAUAAGUAGCGCUAAUGAGCAAGAAAACGGAUGCGCUAAGGCGUAACUUCGCACAGCUGCUGCGCCCUUGCUUCUUGCUUUUGAGCCGGAGCUUGCUGGGUAGUGAAGCUGUCCAUGAAGGUUAAAUAAGACUUGUGUUAAGCAA